GAUGAACGCUAGCUACAGGCUUAACACAUGCAAGUCGAGGGGCAGCGGGGAGGAUGCUUGCAUUCUCUGCCGGCGACCGGCGCACGGGUGAGUAACGCGUACCGAACCUGCCUCAUACUCGGGAAUAGCCUUGCGAAAGUAAGAUUAAUACCCGGCGGUCUCGGAUGGCCGCAUGACUAUCCGAGUGAAGAUUUAUCGGUAUGAGAUGGCGAUGCGUCCCAUUAGCUUGUUGGUGGGGUAACGGCUCACCAAGGCAUCGAUGGGUAGGGGUUCUGAGAGGAAGGUCCCCCACAUUGGAACUGAGACACGGUCCAA
This 315-nucleotide ribosomal RNA is filed under the name uncultured bacterium. RNAcentral's name for it is "bacterial SSU rRNA". It matches the Rfam family "Bacterial small subunit ribosomal RNA", at positions 28 to 334 of the family's 1533-position model. The record is from RNAcentral.